Molecule: unclassified non-coding RNA, 853 nt
Filed under: Hevea brasiliensis (rubber tree)
Lineage: Eukaryota; Viridiplantae; Streptophyta; Magnoliopsida; Malpighiales; Euphorbiaceae
Source: RNAcentral
GGGUCAUUGUUGAGAAACCAUUUGGUCGUGAUUUAGAAUCAUCUAGUGAGCUGACCAGAUGCCUAAAGAAGUACCUAACUGAGGAGCAAAUCUUUCGAAUUGACCAUUACUUGGGAAAAGAACUUGUUGAGAAUCUCUCAGUUCUUCGGUUCUCGAAUCUUGUCUUUGAGCCUCUUUGGUCCAGAAACUACAUCCGCAAUGUCCAAUUUAUAUUUUCUGAAGAUUUUGGUACCGAGGGACGAGGAGGAUACUUUGACCACUACGGGAUCAUCCGUGAUAUUAUGCAAAAUCAUCUCCUUCAAAUACUAGCAUUGUUUGCUAUGGAAACACCUGUCAGCUUGGAUGCUGAGGACAUCAGAAAUGAAAAGGUUAAAGUUUUAAGGUCAAUGAGGCCAUUGCAACUUGAAGAUAUUGUUCUUGGACAGUAUAAGGGUCAUAGCAAGGGUGCUAAAUCAUACCCAGCUUACACAGAUGAUCUAACUGUGCCAAAUGGCAGUAUCACUCCAACAUUUUCUGCUGCUGCACUCUUUAUUGAUAAUGCACGUUGGGACGGGGUUCCUUUCCUCAUGAAAGCAGGAAAAGCUCUCCAUACAAAGAGGGCAGAGAUCAGGGUCCAGUUCAGACAUGUCCCCGGAAAUUUGUACAAAAGGAACUUUGGAGCUGAUAUGGAUAAGGCAACCAAUGAGCUAGUUCUGCGUCUACAACCCGAUGAAGCCAUAUAUCUGAAAAUUAACAACAAGGUUCCUGGUCUUGGAAUGAGACUUGACCGGAGUGACCUUAAUCUUCUUUACAAAGCAAAGUAUCGAGGUGAAAUACCAGAUGCAUAUGAGCGGCUUUUGUUAGAUGCAAUAGA